UUUCAACCAACACAGGCACCAUCACGACAUUUCGGAUCACAACACUUAUAUGAUGCGGGAUCUUCUUCGUAUUACCCUAUGGCGACAGCAGAAGGAACGCAAGGAUCGCACCACCAGCUUCCUGAUAUGGGUCCUUCUUCGUAUCCACCACCAACAGUUACGUAUGAUAAAUAUGUACCCAAAUAGAUGACUUAUAAGACGAUGAUUAAGAUAUCUUAAUUGCUACUGCAUAGGGGCCACACA
Panicum virgatum (switchgrass) is the source of this 243-nucleotide long non-coding RNA. RefSeq lists it as uncharacterized. The transcript is spliced from 3 exons. NCBI's taxonomy places the organism in Eukaryota, Viridiplantae, Streptophyta, Magnoliopsida, Poales, Poaceae. The record is from RefSeq and is a predicted model, not a curated record.